GACAGAGGGUGCAAACGUUGUUCGGAAUUACUGGGCGUAAAGCGCGUGUAGGCGGUUAUGCAAGUCGGGUGUGAAAGCCCCGGGCUCAACCCGGGAAGUGCAUUCGAUACUGCGUAGCUAGAGUACUGGGGAGGAUGGUGGAACUCUCGGUGUAGAGGUGAAAUUCGUAGAUAUCGAGAGGAACACCGGUGGCGAAGGCGGCCAUCUGGACAGAUACUGACGCUGAGGCACGAAAGCGUGGGGAGCAAACAGG
RNAcentral lists this ribosomal RNA (253 nucleotides) under uncultured bacterium. Its description in RNAcentral is "partial 16S ribosomal RNA". It matches the Rfam family "Bacterial small subunit ribosomal RNA", at positions 524 to 776 of the family's 1533-position model. The record is from RNAcentral.